RNAcentral lists this long non-coding RNA (327 nucleotides) under Vicia faba (fava bean). Lineage: Eukaryota; Viridiplantae; Streptophyta; Magnoliopsida; Fabales; Fabaceae. The record is from RNAcentral.
AUGCUGUUGGAUAGGGUGAAAAUAGCUUCAUUAGACCUAGGGUUUACUCCAGAGUCUGAAUGGAUUAGAGUUAGCAAAGAAUGUUUGAAGUAUGCGGGUUUGGAAAAUCGACGUGUUGCCCCCAUAAUGGAAGAAGAAUUGGCAACAAGUCACGAAUGGGGGUGUUCGCGGUGCGGAUUGAGCGAUUUUGAAGUGAAAAAUCACUCGAACGGCAAGGUGAGGCAAAAGUCGAGAAUAGAAAGGGGAAAAGGGAAGACAACAAGAGCAAAUGUUUUAGUUGUUGAGUGUUACUAUGGAUUUAAUGGGCCUCAGGCCCAUCAGAAAUAG